UUCGGCUGUUAACCGAAGGGUCGUUGGUUCGAGUCCAACAGGGGGAGCCA
RNAcentral lists this transfer RNA (50 nucleotides) under Ruminococcus sp. AF16-50. RNAcentral describes it as "tRNA-Ser". It matches the Rfam family "tRNA", at positions 26 to 71 of the family's 71-position model. Rfam says of the family: Transfer RNA (tRNA) molecules are approximately 80 nucleotides in length. The record is from RNAcentral. Lineage: Bacteria; Bacillati; Bacillota; Clostridia; Eubacteriales; Oscillospiraceae.